CAGCAAGGCCUUGGGGCUGAAGUUCUCUGUUGAUCCACAGAACAUGUACAGCAUGACUGUGACAGUGCAAGCUCCACCCACACUACCCCACCAUUGUACUUUCAUCUUAACAUAGAAGAACCACCUCUAGAAGGACACUUCAGUCCCCAGUGUCCAUUCAGUCCUUGACCGCU
RNAcentral lists this small RNA (173 nucleotides) under Gopherus agassizii (Agassiz's desert tortoise). RNAcentral's name for it is "TUC338 (ENSGAGG00000015044.1)". The record is from RNAcentral. Lineage: Eukaryota; Metazoa; Chordata; Testudines; Testudinidae.